RNAcentral lists this ribosomal RNA (457 nucleotides) under uncultured organism. RNAcentral describes it as "partial 16S ribosomal RNA". It matches the Rfam family "Bacterial small subunit ribosomal RNA", at positions 329 to 799 of the family's 1533-position model. The record is from RNAcentral.
ACGUACACUCCUGCGGGAGGCAGCAGUGGGGAAUUUUACGCAAUGGGGGAAACCCUGACGUAGCGACACCGCGUGAGCGAAGAAGCCCUUUGGGGUGUAAAGCUCUGUCAGCUGGAACGAAAACAAUGACGGUACCAGCAGAGGAAGCAUCGGCUAACUACGUGCCAGCAGCCGCGGUAAGACGUAGGAUGCGAGCGUUGUCCGGAUUUAUUGGGCGUAAAGAGUUCGUAGGUGGUUUGUUAAGUUUGGUGUUAAAGAUCGGGGCUCAACCCUGGGACUGCACUGAAUACUGGCAGACUCGAGUGUGGUAGAGGCUAGUGGAAUUCCCAGUGUAGCGGUAAAAUGCGUAGAUAUUGGGAAGAACACCGGUGGCGUAGGCGACUAGCUGGGCCAUAACUGACGCUGAGGAACGAAAGCCAGGGGAGCGAAUGGGAUUAGAAACCCGGGUAGUCCCAUG